RNAcentral lists this ribosomal RNA (496 nucleotides) under uncultured bacterium. Its description in RNAcentral is "partial 16S ribosomal RNA". It matches the Rfam family "Bacterial small subunit ribosomal RNA", at positions 28 to 506 of the family's 1533-position model. The record is from RNAcentral.
GAUGAACGCUGGCGGCGUGCCUAAUACAUGCAAGUCGAGCGAACAGAUGAGGAGCUUGCUCCUCUGACGUUAGCGGCGGACGGGUGAGUAACACGUGGAUAACCUACCUAUAAGACUGGGAUAACUUCGGGAAACCGGAGCUAAUACCGGAUAAUAUAUUGAACCGCAUGGUUCAAUAGUGAAAGACGGUUUUGCUGUCACUUAUAGAUGGAUCCGCGCCGCAUUAGCUAGUUGGUAAGGUAACGGCUUACCAAGGCAACGAUGCGUAGCCGACCUGGGAGGGGGUUCGGCCACACUGGACCUGAGACCCGGUCCAGACUCCUACGGGAGGCAGCAGUAGGGAAUCUUCCGCAAUGGGCGAAAGCCUGACGGAGCAACGCCGCGUGAUUGAUGAAGGCCUUCGGUUCGUAAAACCCUGUUAUUAGGGAAGACCAAAUGUGUAAGUAACUAUGCCCGUCUGGACGGUACCUAAUCAGAAAGCCACGCCUAACUACUG